AGUAAUACAUCGGAACGUACCCAGUAGUGGGGGAUAGCUCGGCGAAAGCCGGAUUAAUACCGCAUACGACCUAUGGGUGAAAGCGGGGGAUCGCAAGACCUCGCGCUAUUGGAGCGGCCGAUGUCGGAUUAGCUAGUUGGCGGGGUAAUGGCCCACCAAGGCGACGAUCGGUAGCUGGUCUGAGAGGACGACCAGCCACACUGGAACUGAGACACGGUCCAG
Molecule: ribosomal RNA, 222 nt
Filed under: uncultured bacterium
Lineage: Bacteria
Description: partial 16S ribosomal RNA
Rfam family: Bacterial small subunit ribosomal RNA
Source: RNAcentral